Molecule: ribosomal RNA, 465 nt
Filed under: uncultured bacterium
Lineage: Bacteria
Description: partial 16S ribosomal RNA
Rfam family: Bacterial small subunit ribosomal RNA
Source: RNAcentral
GAUGAACGCUGGCAGCGUGCUUAACACAUGCAAGUCGAACGAUGAAGCCCAGCUUGCUGGGCGGAUUAGUGGCGAACGGGUGAGUAACACGUGAGUAACCUGCCCUUGACUCUGGGAUAAGCCCGGGAAACUGGGUCUAAUACCGGAUAGGAGCGCCUGUCGCAUGACGGGUGCUGGAAAGAUCUUUCGGUCAUGGAUGGACUCGCGGCCUAUCAGCUUGUUGGUGAGGUAACGGCUCACCAAGGCGACGACGGGUAGCCGGCCUGAGAGGGUGACCGGCCACACUGGGACUGAGACACGGCCCAGACCCCUACGGGAGGCAGCAGUGGGGAAUAUUGCACAAUGGGCGAAAGCCUGAUGCAGCGACGCCGCGUGAGGGAUGACGGCCUUCGGGUUGUAAACCUCUUUCAGCAGGGAAGAAGCGAAAGUGACGGUACCUGCAGAAGAAGCACCGGCUAACUACGU